Molecule: ribosomal RNA, 484 nt
Filed under: uncultured bacterium
Lineage: Bacteria
Description: partial 16S ribosomal RNA
Rfam family: Bacterial small subunit ribosomal RNA
Source: RNAcentral
GACGAACGCUGGCGGCGUGCUUAACACAUGCAAGUCGAACGAUGAAGCCGGAGCUUGCUCUGGUGAAUUAGUGGCGAACGGGUGAGUAACACGUGAGUAACCUGCCCUUGACUCUGGGAUAACUGCGGGAAACUGUAGCUAAUACCGGAUACGACCCUCGGAGGCAUCUCCUGGGGGUGGAAAGAAUUUCGGUCAAGGAUGGACUCGCGGCCUAUCAGCUAGUUGGUGAGGUAAAGGCUCACCAAGGCGACCACGGGUAGCCGGCCUGAGAGGGUGACCGGCCACACUGGGACUGAGACACGGCCCAGACUCCUACGGGAGGCAGCAGUGGGGAAUAUUGCACAAUGGGCGCAAGCCUGAUGCAGCAACGCCGCGUGAGGGAUGACGGCCUUCGGGUUGUAAACCUCUUUUAGCAGGGAGGAAGCGAAAGUGACGGUACCUGCAGAAAAAGCACCGGCUAGCUACGUGCCAGCCGCCGCAGUAA